UUGUGCUGCCUUUGAGCCCCUGCCACACCUGCACGGGUUACUGCGGCACCACAGUACAUGCUCGCGCAUAACUGGGGCCGCUUGGCCCACUGCGUGGGGACCCUUUAACCGUGAGCCACAUCG
This is a small nucleolar RNA of Jaculus jaculus (lesser Egyptian jerboa), 123 nucleotides long. The record is from Ensembl. Lineage: Eukaryota; Metazoa; Chordata; Mammalia; Rodentia; Dipodidae.